UGGAUCCAGACUUUGAUUAUGGCUCAGGAUGGACGCUAGCUACAGGCUUAACACAUGCAAGUCGAGGGGCAGCGGGAUUGAAGCUUGCUUCAAUUGCCGGCGACCGGCGCACGGGUGAGUAACGCGUAUCCAACCUUCCGUACACUCAGGGAUAGCCUUUCGAAAGAAAGAUUAAUACCUGAUGGUAUGAUGAGAUUGCAUGAUAGCAUCAUUAAAGAUUUAUCGGUGUACGAUGGGGAUGCGUUCCAUUAGGUAGUAGGCGGGGUAACGGCCCACCUAGCCAACGAUGGAUAGGGGUUCUGAGAGGAAGGUCCCCCACAUUGGAACUGAGACACGGUCCAAACUCCUACGGGAGGCAGCAGUGAGGAAUAUUGGUCAAUGGACGAGAGUCUGAACCAGCCAAGUAGCGUGAAGGAUGAAGGUCCUACGGAUUGUAAACUUCUUUUAUAAGGGAAUAAACCCUCCCACGUGUGGGAGCUUGUAUGUACCUUAUGAAUAAGCAUCGGCUAACUCCGUGCCAGCAGCCGCGGUAAUACGGAGGAUGCGAGCGUUAUCCGGAUUUAUUGGGUUUAAAGGGAGCGCAGACGGGUCGUUAAGCCAGCUGUGAAAGUUUGGGGCUCAACCUUAAAAUUGCAGUUGAUACUGGCGUCCUUGAGUGCGGUUGAGGUGUGCGGAAUUCGUGGUGUAGCGGUGAAAUGCUUAGAUAUCACGAAGAACUCCGAUUGCGAAGGCAGCACACUAAUCCGUAACUGACGUUCAUGCUCGAAAGUGUGGGUAUCAAACAGGAUUAGAUACCCUGGUAGUCCACACGGUAAACGAUGGAUACUCGCUGUUGGCGAUAUACUGUCAGCGGCUUAGCGAGAGCGUUAAGUAUCCCACCUGGGGAGUACGCCGGCAACGGUGCAACUCAAAGGAAUUGACGGA
RNAcentral lists this ribosomal RNA (924 nucleotides) under uncultured bacterium. RNAcentral describes it as "bacterial SSU rRNA". It matches the Rfam family "Bacterial small subunit ribosomal RNA", at positions 1 to 917 of the family's 1533-position model. RNAcentral also lists the same sequence under 1 other name. The record is from RNAcentral.